Molecule: long non-coding RNA, 826 nt
Filed under: Vigna radiata
Lineage: Eukaryota; Viridiplantae; Streptophyta; Magnoliopsida; Fabales; Fabaceae
Description: long non-coding RNA (VRAD_LNC016230)
Source: RNAcentral
CUUCUUUCAAUUUAAUUCCAGUGUGUCUUAUCUAGUUUUAAUUGCUGUAAUUGGAUACAUUCUAGUGUCCAUAAGUCAUUUGAUUCUGUGUAUUAAAAUUUGGAUGGUGGAGUUGCUAAUUUUGUUNCAUAAUNUCACUCUUAACACCACCAGUUUUAAUNAAUAAUUGUUUGAAAGCAAGCUGCAUAAAUUCCAUUUGAUUGAUUAAUCNGAUUUGGUGCCUGUUAAUUACCUACACUUGUAGCAAAAGCUUGGUCCAGUGAAUUGAACAUUUCCAAAAGAAAAGAAAAGAUGAAAGUAAUAUCAUAAAAGCAAUUNUGUAUCAAGUAAAAAGCUGACUGGUCGUGCAAGUGAAGAUCACAAACUUUGGUGCACCAAAUUGAAUUAUUUUCUCAGGCAAUACAUCAAACAGUCUCAAAUUUUAUUUGAAUUACUCUAAUGCGGCUUGUUUGGGUUUAUUGCUUUUAAAUCUGUCUAGUGCUAUGCUUAGGAUUCUGUUUGUGUGCUAGCCUUUCUAAUUAGCUUUGUUUCUUGCUUGUCUUCAUUGAUUUGUCUUGGUUUUGUCUCAUCACAUGUGCAAUCUAUUAUGCCAUUCUUUAAUUGACCUUUUGUUGUUUUUGCAAUCUGUUCUAGAGUUAAUCUUGAGUCAGUUUAUCUGUUGUGCUGUCAGUUUUCCUUAUCUGGUGCUUACCUUGUUGUUGGUUGUUCUGUUCUGUCAUCCCUUAGCCAAGCCAUUUCCUGUUUGUGAAGCUGAUAUCACUUUGGUUUUUGGAAAUUGAAAGAGAGGUAUUUGUGAAUGGUAGCCUCUUAGGUGGAAGUGAUCCAC